This 232-nucleotide ribosomal RNA is filed under the name uncultured bacterium. Its description in RNAcentral is "partial 16S ribosomal RNA". It matches the Rfam family "Bacterial small subunit ribosomal RNA", at positions 105 to 334 of the family's 1533-position model. The record is from RNAcentral.
GGCGGAGGUGAGUAAUGUCUGGGAAACUGCCUGAUGGAGGGGGAUAACUACUGGAAACGGUAGCUAAUACCGCAUAACGUCGCAAGACCAAAGAGGGGGACCUUCGGGCCUCUUGCCAUCGGAUGUGCCCAGAUGGGAUUAGCUAGUAGGUGGGGUAAAGGCUCACCUAGGCGACGAUCCCUAGCUGGUCUGAGAGGAUGACCAGCCACACUGGAACUGAGACACGGUCCAG